UACGGGGGGGGCAAGCGUUGUUCGGAAUUACUGGGCGUAAAGGGCUCGUAGGUGGCCAACUAAGUCAGACGUGAAAUCCCUCGGCUUAACCGGGGAACUGCGUCUGAUACUGGAUGGCUUGAGUUCGGGAGAGGGAUGCGGAAUUCCAGGUGUAGCGGUGAAAUGCGUAGAUAUCUGGAGGAACACCGGUGGCGAAGGCGGCAUCCUGGACCGACACUGACACUGAGGAGUGAAAGCCAGGGGAGCAAACGGG
Molecule: ribosomal RNA, 253 nt
Filed under: uncultured bacterium
Lineage: Bacteria
Description: partial 16S ribosomal RNA
Rfam family: Bacterial small subunit ribosomal RNA
Source: RNAcentral